CGAGUCAACGGGUGAGUAAACCCG
This 24-nucleotide non-coding RNA is filed under the name Arabidopsis thaliana (thale cress). Lineage: Eukaryota; Viridiplantae; Streptophyta; Magnoliopsida; Brassicales; Brassicaceae. The record is from RNAcentral.